Centropristis striata (black sea bass) is the source of this 1117-nucleotide long non-coding RNA. RefSeq lists it as uncharacterized. The record is from RefSeq and is a predicted model, not a curated record. The transcript is spliced from 2 exons. NCBI's taxonomy places the organism in Eukaryota, Metazoa, Chordata, Actinopteri, Perciformes, Serranidae.
CUCCAGCACACAGUAAAACAGCCAGUCGCUCGGCGGAGGAGGCAGGCGGACGGAUGCACGUGCAGUCGGCUCCCGUGUUGGGGUCCACAGUAAUUAAAGACAUCCAUCAGAUUAUGACAGUAAUGUUGGGAAGCAUGACACCGUGGGACCCGGAAUGUGACCAGGGUAACCAUGACGGCCGCAAUCAAACACAGAUGAUGUUCGACAGCAAGAUUCCUCUUGUUUCCUGAUGCGUUGUGAUUCACUUACAAACUAUGUGUGCGGUGCACUGAGACACAGAAGGCGUUUAAAUUGUUACAUUUCUUCUUCUUACUGGUCAUCUUCUAUAUCCUCCUGCAAAGCUUCCCUCUGUUUCACCUGUUAUUUUCCAUUUUUGGUACCUUUCUGUAGUGAUGACAAUACAUGGAACAUGUGACAUGCAUAAAGCUUUGUAAAUUAUUAUUGUUUGUUAAGGCCAGCAUAGAUGAGGUUUACAAUGUGCUGACAGUUGAGAAAACAAUGGAAUGUAUUUUAAAGUGUAAUUUGAUGCAGGAGCUUAAAAAACAAAUGAUCUAACAAAUGACAGAUAUUAUAGAUUAUCCCUCUAAGCAGGUUGAACAUGUAACAAAACCUGAGUUACUCAUUAAAGCAACCCUUAAUAUAGUUAUGUGUUGUUGAAAUGAUAAUGAAGGUUAUUUACAUGACAUUUCUCUAUUGACAAAUUGCUUUUAACAACAAUGAAAGAGAAGUUGCAGGUCGCAUUUUAGCUCAGGGGUCAUAGGUUACUUUCAGCAGAGGGAUUCCUGUGUAAUUUAUUUUAGGAAUGUAUGUUGUUUUGAAAAGGGCCUGUAGUUUCAGGUCAAAAGGAAAUUCAUGAGAACUGGUGGAGUCUGUUUGUGUUGUCAUUUUCUGUGUUGGCUCAUUAAAUUACCACACUUGUGUUUUGGCUUGUUUCAGCUCAUUUACUACAAAGCAUGUACUACUGUUACAUGCUUUCUACCAUAAAAGUGUUUUUUCUGCUAUUCAGGCGGUCACUGAUUCAUGCUGUCAGACUAGAAACUUGCUUGUGACAGCCAAUCCAUCACAUUAGAUUUUUAGUGUUUUCUUUCUGUGGUAAUGCACUGGAUCAAAGCAUGUA